UACUUGGGAUAUUGUUCCUCUUCCUCCUGGUAAGAAACCCAUUGGCUGUAAGUGGGUCUAUAAAAUCAAAUACAAGUCUGAUGGUCUUGUUGAAAGAUAUAAAGCAAGGCUUGCUAUUAGGGGUGAUACACAAGUUGAGGGGAUUGAUUUUACUGAUACUUAUUCUCCUGUGAUUAAGAUGACCUCUGUGAAAUGCCUUAUUGUUGUGGCUGUCAAGAAUCAUUGGCCUCUUUUCCAGCUUGAUGUCAAUAAUGCUUUUCUCUAUGGUGAUUUGGAUGAGGAAGUUUACAUGAAACUUCCUCCAGGUUUGACAGUUUCUGCUCCUAUUUUUGGUUUUGUUUCUACUCCUUCUUCUACUUCUCCUCCUGUGGUCUGUAAACUCAAGAAAUCCCUGUAUGGGCUAAGACAAGCAUCCAGACAAUGAUAUGCCAAGUUAUCUUCUGCUCUUUAUUCCAAAGGGUAUAAAUAUUCUUUGAAUGACUAUUCUUUGUUUAGACAAUGGUAUGCCAAGUUGUCUUCUUUUCUUUAUUCCAGAGGGUACAAACAUUCUUUGAAUGACUAUUCUUUGUUCAUCAAAGGUACACCUGGCUCCUUUGUGGUGGUAGCAGUCUAUGUGGAUGAUAUUAUACUUACUGGAGAUGAUAGUGAUGAACUUACUGCACUGAAACUGUUUCUGGAUGAUCAGUUUAAAAUCAAAGAUUUGGGAUCUUUGCAUUAUUUUUUGGGCCUUGAAAUGACAGUUGUCCCUGGAGGGAUGCUCCUUAAUCAGCAUAAGUAUAUUUCUGAUUUGCCGCAUCAGUUUGACUGUGUAAAUGUCUCCUCUGUUGUUUCUCCUUUGGACAUUAAUGUCAAACUNNN
RNAcentral lists this long non-coding RNA (858 nucleotides) under Nicotiana benthamiana. RNAcentral describes it as "long non-coding RNA (NBEN_LNC018364)". Lineage: Eukaryota; Viridiplantae; Streptophyta; Magnoliopsida; Solanales; Solanaceae. The record is from RNAcentral.